Molecule: non-coding RNA, 879 nt
Organism: Pelobates cultripes (western spadefoot toad)
Lineage: Eukaryota; Metazoa; Chordata; Amphibia; Anura; Pelobatidae
Source: the annotation of a GenBank genome assembly
GGGGCUCUUGUUUAAACCUCCCUACAGAAUGUAGUGUCAUCAUUACAGACUUUUGGAUACACGAUGGGAGGGGGAGUGAGUGGUAUCUAUCAGUUCUAAACCAAUAAUCCUCCAUUUAGCUAUACGUGGCAUAUAGCUGUUUAACUGGCACAAAGGUAGUGGGGGAGGAGUUAGUAAAGGGAGCUGUUAACACAGGAAUUUUGUUUACACAAGGUUUGCUUGAUUUGAAGGGGGAUGCUUAUCAGGAUGAAGAAUUUACAUAGUAAACAGCAACUGAACACAUUGUAGGGGGCGAAGGGAAUAUUUACUCUAGCAGCCAGUUUUAACAUAGUGAACACAGAAUAAAUAGACAUUAGUAAAUAGCCAUUUUAUUUUAAUUCAUCUGUCCAUAACAGUCCCCCCUUAAAAUGGCAAUUUUUACUAAAACUACUAUCUCUCAUUCUAAUACUGUCCCUAUAGAAAAAUAACAAAAGGCUAUCUUGCACAUCUGUCUGAACAGGCCUCGAACACUUCACUGCGCGGGUAUUCCAUAGCAGCUUGUCCACUACUUCUCCCGCGGCAGACUUCUGCCCGUAGAGACAGACGCUAUCCCUAAAUGUCCUUAAGAGGAAGUAGCUGUUGAUUUAGUGCGGUGGGACUGUAAGGGUGUAUGUCGAUAUCGUCAAUCUCUUGGUGAAGGAAGGUCGGGGUGGUCUGGUCGAUUGUCUGAUCAACUGUCUUUUGUAGGCAUUUCUUAAGACAGGGUAACACACAACAAACAAGAAGAGCGAGGAUGAUUAUCGUUAUUAAAAUGGCAACACCUAUUUGGGCCAGAGCACCUUGCCAUCCAGACAUCCAUCCAAACCAUCUUUCCCAUGGAUCUGUGGCCCCCGAAUUUCG